This 328-nucleotide ribosomal RNA is filed under the name uncultured soil bacterium. RNAcentral's name for it is "bacterial SSU rRNA". It matches the Rfam family "Bacterial small subunit ribosomal RNA", at positions 26 to 359 of the family's 1533-position model. The record is from RNAcentral.
AGGACGAACGCUGGCGGCGUGCUUAACACAUGCAAGUCGAGCGGAAAGGCCUUUCGGGGUACUCGAGCGGCGAACGGGUGAGUAACACGUGAGUAAUCUGCCCAUCGCUUCAGGAUAGCCAUCGGAAACGGUGAUUAAUACUGGAUAUGACAUUCCUUCGCAUGUUGGGGUGUGGAAAGUUUUUUCGGCGGUGGAUGUGCUCGCGGCCUAUCAGCUUGUUGGUGGGGUAAUGGCCUACCAAGGCUUUGACGGGUAGCCGGCCUGAGAGGGUGACCGGCCACACUGGGACUGAGACACGGCCCAGACUCCUACGGGAGCAGCAGUGGGG